UCCUCUUUGUCGCCUGUAGUUCAAGCAGCU
This 30-nucleotide non-coding RNA is filed under the name Mus musculus (house mouse). Lineage: Eukaryota; Metazoa; Chordata; Mammalia; Rodentia; Muridae. The record is from RNAcentral.